RNAcentral lists this ribosomal RNA (344 nucleotides) under Thalassiosira gravida. Its description in RNAcentral is "partial Bacterial small subunit ribosomal RNA". It matches the Rfam family "Bacterial small subunit ribosomal RNA", at positions 397 to 734 of the family's 1533-position model. Lineage: Eukaryota; Bacillariophyta; Thalassiosirophyceae; Thalassiosirales; Thalassiosiraceae. The record is from RNAcentral.
CCGCGUGUGUGAAUAAGGCCUUCGGGUUGUAAAGCACUUUAAGUUGGGAAGAAAAAACUUCAAUUAAUACUUGAAGUCUUGACGGUACCGACAGAAUAAGCACCGGCUAACUCUGUGCCAGCAGCCGCGGUAAUACAGAGGGUGCAAGCGUUAAUCGGAAUUACUGGGCGUAAAGCGAGCGUAGGUGGCUUGAUAAGUCAGAUGUGAAAGCCCCGGGCUUAACCUGGGAACGGCAUCUGAUACUGUUAGGCUAGAGUAGGUGAGAGGAAGGUAGAAUUCCAGGUGUAGCGGUGAAAUGCGUAGAGAUCUGGAGGAAUACCGAUGGCGAAGGCAGCCUUCUGGCC